AUGGAUGAGGAGCGCGCCCUCUACAUCGUCCGGGCCGGCGAGGCGGGGGCUAUCGAGCGGGUCCUGAGGGAUUACAGCGAUAAGCAUAGGGCUACUUUCAAAUUUGAAUCAACAGAUGAAGAUAAAAGAAAGAAACUCUGUGAAGGCAUAUUUAAAGUCCUUUUAAAGGACAUCCCAACAACAUGUCAAGUGUCCUGCCUGGAAGUCCUCCGCAUUCUCUCCAGAGACAAAAAGGUUUUAGUUCCUGUAACAACUAAGGAAAAUAUGCAGAUACUGCUGCGACUAGCCAAGCUAAAUGAGUCGGAUGAUUCUUUGGAGAAGGUGUCAGAGUUCCCAGUUAUUGUGGAGUCAUUAAAAUGUCUUUGUAACAUAGUGUUCAACAGUCAGAUGGCACAGCAGCUCAGCCUGGAACUUAACCUUGCUGCAAAGCUCUGUAACCUCCUGAGAAAGUGCAAGGACCGAAAGUUUAUCAAUGACAUUAAGUGCUUUGACUUGCGCUUGCUCUUCGUCCUGUCACUUUUGCACACUGACAUCAGGUCACAAUUGCGCUAUGAGCUCCAAGGACUACCGCUGCUAACCCAGAUCUUGGAAAGUGCCUUUAGCAUCAAGUGGACCGAUGAAUAUGAAUCGGCCAUAGACCGUAAUGGACCUCCUCUCUCACCUCAGGAGACAGACUGUGCCAUUGAGGCCCUCAAAGCUCUCUUCAAUGUGACGGUAGACAGUUGGAAGGUGCAUAAAGAGGGUGAUUCUCAUCAGUUUCGUGUCAUGGCAGCUGUUCUUCGCCAUUGUUUACUAAUCGUAGGUCCAACUGAAGACAAAACAGAAGAGCUACACAGCAAUGCAGUCAACCUUUUAAGCAAUGUUCCAGUCUCUUGUUUGGAUGUUCUCAUUUGUCCAUUAACCCAUGAAGAAACAGCCCCAGAAGCAACGACGCUAGAUGAACUGCCCAGUGAUAAAACAGCUGAGAAAGAAACAGUUUUGAAAAAUAAUACCAUGGUAUACAAUGGUAUGAAUAUGGAGGCCAUUCAUGUUUUACUCAGUUUUAUGGAGAAGAGAAUAGACAAGGGAAGCAGCUAUAGAGAGGGUCUGACUCCAGUUCUCAGCUUAUUAACAGAAUGUUCCCGAGCCCAUCGAAACAUCAGAAAAUUUCUCAAAGAUCAGGUUUUACCACCAUUGAGGGAUGUGACAAAUCGACCUGAAGUUGGCUCAACGGUGAGAAAUAAGCUGGUGCGCCUCAUGACACAUGUUGACCUGGGAGUCAAGCAAAUUGCUGCUGAAUUCCUUUUUGUCCUUUGCAAAGAGAGAGUGGAUAGCCUGCUGAAAUACACUGGCUAUGGGAAUGCUGCAGGACUGUUGGCGGCCAGGGGCCUCUUGGCUGGAGGAAGAGGAGAUAAUUGGUACUCAGAGGACGAGGACACAGACACUGAAGAAUACAAAAAUGCAAAACCAAACAUUAAUCUUAUCACUGGUCAUUUAGAGGAACCAAUGCCAAACCCCAUAGAUGAAAUGACAGAAGAACAAAAAGAAUAUGAAGCCAUGAAACUUGUCAACAUGCUUGAUAAACUUUCCAGUACACAGAGCAGACAAGAAAGAAGAGCCCUUGAAAACAAGGGAAUGAUUUUUGAGUCGUUAUCAAGCUAAGUGGCAAGCGGGAAGCUGAAACUCGUAUAGUUGAACAUUCUUGGAGGCUUAUCUCUUCCCUGGCCAGAUGCCUGAUCAGAUGAGAAGCCCGCCAUGAUACUGUCACAGUGCCUAGAAUGGGCUCUUUAUCCAGUAGACAUCACUGUACUUUUUGAUGAUAACGAGGGCAGUCUUAACUUGUGUUAAGGCCUGUGUAUAGCAUUGAAGAGAGGAGUUGCUUAAACCAAUGGGACUAAAACCUGAUGGGACAAUAACGCCUUUGGAGGAAGCACUCAACCAGUACUCUGUCAUCGAGGAGACCAGCUCUGACACAGACUAAAAGCAUCACCUGCUCAACUCUCAGUAUUGCUUUUAUCAGCAUCUUUUCUCUGUAGCUCCAGGGGAAUCUUUUCUCUAAAACAUUUAUGCCCUUGCUUUGGCUAGAAACACAUUAACUGGUUUACUCAUUGAGAAUCCAGCAUAUUUAAGAAGUGAUCCUGUGUUUUUGCGAUAUUGAGGCAUUCAUACAGAGCUGCAGUUAGACGGAGUUGCAGAGACUAGGAACAGAAAAAACAAAAUUCCAUUUUGUCAAGAUGGAACUGAAGGACUUCACUCUAUAAAGCAGCCCUGGUUGAAUCUGGCAGUUCUGUUUGCCAAGAUUCUUAACAGAAGAUUUAGCCGUGUCCUUCCUCUCACUUGUGUGAGCUGCCCUUUCUGAAUCUCUCCAGAGACGGAGGCAUGUGAGAAGCAGAACGAGCUGCUGAAAAGGGGCUGAGGCAAGUGACUUGUUAGAUCAGGACUGAGUGAAUGGAAGCCACGCAGCUGCUCCAUAGACGUAGCCCCAGUCUUCAUUUCAAUUUUGUAUAAAUCUAUAGAAAUGCACACACACGCACACACACACACACAACAGCCCCAGACUUGCAAACUGAUUAUAUUCAAAAAGUUUGUAUGUCAGUUAUCUAGAACUUCAGAAUACAUUUCUCCCUAUAAAGUUAUAAAUGAUGGUUUAGUUCUGAGGCAGCUAAAUGCCUAUUUAUUCCCUAAUAACCUGAACACUAGUACCAUAGAACUGAACCCCCAUCUGUAUCACUGCAUGGGGAGCAUGCAUUCUGAGGUCUAACGUAGGGGUGCCUCCAACCCGUUAGAGGGAAUGGGGACCCCCUGGGUACAGGGGGUUCUUUUGAGCCCUCUGAUGAGGGUGGGGGAGUCAGCAGCACCCAUUUGUACAUAUAGGUCACUCAUAUGUCACAUGUUUUAAAUUGGGGACUGUGUGUGCUUGUGUGUGUGUCCUAACUUUCUACCAUAUGUGAUCAGUUUAAUGGUAACUUUAUUUAUUUAAAAAAGAAACACAAAUAGUUACUGUUAAACUGAUUAAGGCUGUUUAUUUUUACUUUUAGAAUUGGUCAUAUGAAGAAGUAGAAAAUGAAUCAUGCAGUAUAGACAGUGGGCCUAGUUAAUCAAUGGCUAAAGUUGAAAAGGGGUUGGUUUCCUUUUAUAUAUAUAUAUAUGUAUGUAUGUAUAUACAUAUAUAUAUAUACACACACAUAAUGUGCUUAACCACUGCCUUUUAAAACUUUAAAUUAAAUAAAACAUUGGGGUUGAUUCAAUUUAGCUAUCUGUGUGUGUUUCUUUAUAGGUACACGGGGUAAACAAUCCUAUUUCACAGUUUAUGCUUUUUUAAAGUGCUUUUACAUCUAUUAUCUCACUUAUAAUAAAUAAUAGCCUUUCUAAGGAUAAAGCACAUGAAGUAUUAGUGAAAAUGUCGUGUACCCAGAAGUCACUUCUCUGGCAAAAGUACAAAUCAGGAAUUCAGUUUUAAAAAGCCUUAGAGCUGCCAAAAGAGAUGGCAAAGUUUCUUAAAAUUUAUUUAUAGGAGAGAUCCUCAAGAAUCUCACCUUUUGCCUCUUUACUAAAAUUUGCAUAUAUUUCUAACAUGUUUAGUUAUCUGACUUCCAAGCCCACAAAAAAAAUGGCAAAGGAGGAGGCUGUUAGAUGGAAAGCAGACCUACUGAAAGCAGCAAAAAGCCAACUGAAAACCGGAUAGCAACGUGGGGAGAAUGAAAACUACUCAAGGCGUCAUAAGUCUGGGACCAUCUGUUUCCUAAAGGACAUUCUAGUCGACCCAGAAAGUAUCUGUACAACAGUAUGGCCUACAAACUAAUUCUCAUAACGAUGACCUUGUGUUUCUUUUAAAAAAUAGGAAUACUCUAUAAAAAGACUAGGAAGAAUACAUUUUAGGAUUUUUAUCCAAAAUAGUUGGAGUAUAAGUUAUGCGUGACCCAUGUUUUAACAGUAAAUAAAAUGAAACUUGGUAAUUCAUAAUUUUAGAUUAAGUGAAAAAAAGUUUAGAAAAAAGAAUUUAAGUAUUUUUGUUACUUCAUUCUACAAAUGCAUUUUUAAAGUAUUUUUAUAAUUUCUGCAAUUAAAUAGCUUUGGCAUGAGUGUCAGCUUACCUAAAUGAAGACAUGUUUAAUGAAAUACCAUCUUGCCAGCUUUAUGCAGAGUGUUUGAACAGUCCUGUUUAAGUAGCUGUGCUCUUCUGCUUUCAGUGAGUUGUGUUUCAUUUUGAGUUUCCCCAUACUCGGCACUAAGCUUUGUUUUGAAGAGAGAAUUUGCAGAGGGAGAAGGUGAAAGUGACCUCAUCUUGCACACGGAAAGAGAACUAACAUCUAUUGAUUGCUUGCUCUGUGCUGGGCUUUUUAUGUAUCUUAUCUUGUGUAACCUCAUCACAUCUCAUAUUAAGAGAUCAUUUCUGGAAAGCAAAGUAAGUUACCCAACAUCACAGAGCAAGUAAAAAUACAACUCUGGCCGGCCUGACCCCCAGCACCUCUCCUUCCCCUUCACGCUGCCCACCUGGGUCCAUGUUGUGCCCCCUUAGGACUCUGGAAUGCUGGGAGAGUGGUAAUUCUCAGGCCAUUUUAAGCAAUAACUAUUUCAGCAGAACUGGUUUAAAGAACUUAUUAAGCAGGGAGGUGACCUGAAUGAAGCUGAAGUGUGAGUAGGAAACUUGCUCAGUUAGUACUGGAUUUCAAAUAAGGACCUGGAAUCCUUUAGGUCAGAGAUGAGGGCUGCAGGCUCCCCCCCAGGCCCUCCCCCCCACCGCCACCCUGACCCUCGACAUCUGCCUGGCUCAGUGGCCUGCAGUGGGGAUGGUGAGAAUACACUGGCCAACUGCACUCUGCAGGCCCCUGUGUCCACAUCCCUCCCAACCUUUAAAACAGGGUAUGGAGGAACGGGUUCUAAAAUAAGGCGCUUGAGCUGCUGCUUUAGAGUAACAGUCGACAGACACUUGAGGCCCCUUCCCACACCGGGUGGUCCUGGCAGGUGCACAGGACAGAUGUUAUUGUCCCUCCUUUAUAAAUGAAGACAUAGGCAGAGGCAGUACAAGUACUCAACAUCCCCUUACUACCAUCAGUCUUGCCGCCUCCCAGUACUAGGUGUCUCUUCUAUUGACUUCCCUUCCCCUCCCCCCCAUUAUAAAAGUAAUAUAUGUUCAUUGUGGAAAGUUUGGAGAAUACAGGAAAUAAUAAAGUUAAUAAUUCACCCCAAAACCCACCACCUGAGAUAAUCUUUGUUAAUGUUUUGGUGUAUUUCCGUCCAGUGUUUUUUCUAUGCAUAUAUAAUUUAUUUUACUACAAGAUUGGGAUCAUGCUGUAUUUACAGAUUUGUACCCUGCUUUCUUCUUUAACAUAUUGUAAGCAU
RNA transcript from Physeter macrocephalus (sperm whale), 5322 nucleotides. It is a transcript of the gene named RIC8 guanine nucleotide exchange factor B, with no coding region annotated. Lineage: Eukaryota; Metazoa; Chordata; Mammalia; Artiodactyla; Physeteridae. The record is from RefSeq and is a predicted model, not a curated record. The transcript has 12 exons.